AGUCGUCCUGACAAGGGGAGGUCACGUGCUGUCGGUGGUCUGCUCAGGGGCGAGGCUCUGCCGUUGCCCUUCGGGAGGGUUGACCCCUGCGACCUCCCCAAAUGCGAGACACUCGGCUGUAUAAUUCGCGGUAGUGGGGGACUGCGUUCGCGCUAUCGCCCG
This is a small nuclear RNA of Petromyzon marinus (sea lamprey), 162 nucleotides long. Its record names the gene U1. It matches the Rfam family "U1 spliceosomal RNA". From Rfam's summary of the family: U1 is a small nuclear RNA (snRNA) component of the spliceosome (involved in pre-mRNA splicing). Its 5' end forms complementary base pairs with the 5' splice junction, thus defining the 5' donor site of an intron. There are significant differences in sequence and secondary structure between metazoan and yeast U1 snRNAs, the latter being much longer (568 nucleotides as compared to 164 nucleotides in human). The record is from Ensembl. Lineage: Eukaryota; Metazoa; Chordata; Hyperoartia; Petromyzontiformes; Petromyzontidae.